CCCACCGUGGGUGGUUCUUGGGCCGCGCCGGCACUUGCUCAGACGUAGGAACUGCCGGCGUGCGUCCCGGAGCCUCGCGACGCUGGCCAUCCGUGCCACUGGCAGCUUAGAGGCAGCAUGGCCACGGUGGCAGCGGCGGCCCGCGGGGCCGGGGCGAGGGCGGCGGCAGGGCUGCGGAGUUGCGGCGGGGCCGUGGCUCGAGAACGACCGCGCUCGGGCUGCGCUCGGCGCCUGUGCUCUGCCCCGGCUGCCCCGGCUGCCGUGGACAUGAAAAGCUACCUGUGGGCGCGCUACCACGAGGCGAAGAGGAGCACGGACGAAUUGGUUCCAUCCAUCAUGAACAACUUGCUGAAUCCAGACGCCAUUUUCUCGAACAAUGAGAUGAGCCUGUCAGACAUCGAAAUAUAUGGCUUUGAUUAUGAUUACACCCUGGUAUUCUAUUCCAAGCACCUCCACACACUCAUCUUCAAUGCUGCCCGGGACCUUCUCAUCAACGAACACAGGUAUCCUGUGGAAAUCAGGAAGUAUGAGUAUGACCCAAGCUUUGCCAUCCGGGGACUCCAUUACGACGUCCAGCGGGCAGUGUUGAUGAAGAUCGAUGCUUUUCAUUACAUCCAGAUGGGGACAGUGUACAGAGGCCUCAGUGUUGUCCCUGAUGAAGAAGUCAUAGACAUGUAUGAGGGGUCCCACGUGCCCUUGGAGCAGAUGAGUGACUUCUAUGGAAAGAGUUCUCAUGGGAACACCAUGAAGCAGUUCAUGGAUAUCUUCUCGCUGCCCGAGAUGACCCUGCUGUCCUGUGUGAACGAGCACUUCCUGAAGAACAACAUUGACUAUGAACCUGUGCACCUGUACAAAGACGUCAAGGACUCCAUAAGGGAUGUCCACAUCAAAGGGAUAAUGUACCGAGCAAUCGAAGCGGAUAUUGAAAAGUACAUCUGUUAUGCUGAUCAGACCCGUGCAGUGUUGGCUAAACUGGCUGCCCACGGCAAGAAGAUGUUCCUCAUUACCAAUAGCCCAAGUAGCUUUGUCUCACCUGGCUGCCUUGUUCCAGAGACAAAGGGAUGCGGUACAUCGUGGGGAAGGACUGGCGAGACCUGUUCGAUGUGGUCAUAGUUCAGGCCGAGAAACCCAACUUCUUCAAUGACAAGCGGAGGCCUUUCCGAAAGGUGAAUGAGAAAGGUGUCCUACUCUGGGAUAAAAUCCACAAGCUGCAGAAAGGCCAGAUUUACAAGCAGGGCAAUUUGUAUGAAUUUUUGAAGCUCACUGGAUGGAGAGGAUCCAAAGUACUGUAUUUUGGUGACCACAUCUACAGCGAUCUGGCGGAUCUGACCCUCAAGCACGGCUGGCGCACUGGAGCGAUCAUCCCCGAGCUCCGUUCCGAGCUCAGGAUCAUGAACACGGAGCAGUACAUCCAGACCAUGACCUGGCUGCAGACCUUGACGGGGCUCCUGGAGCAGAUGCAGGUCCACAGAGACGCCGAGUCACAGCUGGUUUUACAGGAGUGGAAAAAGGAGAGGAAGGAGAUGAGAGAAAUGACCAAAAGUUUCUUCAACGCCCAGUUUGGGAGCUUGUUCCGAACAGACCAGAAUCCAACCUACUUCCUGAGGCGGCUGUCGAGGUUCGCUGACAUCUACAUGGCGUCUCUGAGCUGCCUUCUGAACUACGACGUCCACCACACAUUCUACCCCAGGAGGACUCCUCUGCAACAUGAGCUCCCUGCAUGGUCGGACAGCCCGUCUGCCUUCAAAGCCCCUUUGCUGCAGGAGGCUCAGGCCAAGUAGUCCUGUGUUUGCCUGAGGCAAAAGCCAGAAGCAUUCGUGGCCUCACAGAGGGUCAGGCAGCCUCAGAGUUGCUUCCCAGAGUCAGAUGCGCCUUUUGUAUUUUUUCUAUCUUACUAUGAAUACUGUCCUGUCCAGGUUGAGGCAGGAGCUGGCCGCCUGGGGCCUCCCGGCCCUUCUCCACACAACAGUGUUGAAACCCUGAUGAGACCUUGCUUAUAGUGGAACCAGCAACGUGGGCCUCUUGAUGAGUGAGACCUCUUGAUGGCUUCUGACAAGUGAGACCUCUUGAUGGCUGCCUGUGUUCCGUAGGUGGAGAGUGGACACUUCUUGAUUCUGUGAGACAUUUCUUGGUUGUUUACAAGCAGCACUGGGGACCGCAAGGGCGUGGUGAUCUGCAGCACACCAGGAAGCAGGUUCCUGAGGGAGCAGCCCUACCUGUGGCCAGUUCCCCCAUCUCCUGGUCCUAGGCUUUCAAGGACAUUUUCCCAUAAAAUUCACAGCCUCCUGGAAUGACUUUGUUGAGGGAAAACAGGAAGCAUUUGUCACAGUGGCUUUGUCUGCCCCAAAGGGGUGAUGGGUGGGCUCCCUCCUCCCUAGGAAAAGUGGGAGAAGACAGCCACUCGCACUAAAAUUGCCUUUCAGCCAGUGUUUUGGACAUUAUAGAAGACAAGAAAGACUCAGCCUGUGGCCAGGGCUAGCCUGUGUGUUAGACAUCCAGCACAGACAGCUCGCUGUGGGAAUGCCACAUUUCAUGCUGAGAGCCAAGCUGGGGAAAUUGCUUCUGUCCUUCCCCCUCUGGAGGGAUGAAUCCUUGAUUACAUCUGAUUGUAGUAGCUUUGAACACUUUUGCUGCUUAGGCACCACAGGACUGGCUGCUCUGUUAUCAACAGUUCUGUUUAAUGGCGUUUUCGUUGCAGACGCCACGUUCAUUGCAAAUGCCACGAAAGUGCUCGUGGCCAGAUUAGCCUUGUCACCUGGCCUGACUCAUUUUGUGCUCUUGUGGCGCUGCUGCUGCUGCUUCUGCUCCCCCCCCCCCCCCCCGAGUCCCCCCAGGUAGGGUCUUGCUUUGGAGCCUGGGCUGGCCUUGGACUCAAUCCUCCGGCCUCAGCCUCCUGCAACUGUGUGUGUGUGCAUGCAUGCAGAAGUGUAAAGAAAGGCAGGACCAUGACGGAGACUUGUGGCGAGCGCUUGCGCUCUGGCAUCUUAACCCGCAAUGAGUAGAUCUUAACCAGCUGUUGAGGGCUGCUCCCUUGGCCGGUUGCUGACUGCCUGGCAAUGUGCAGAAGCUAACGGAGCUGUGCAGCAUUCACUGUAAUGCUGUGUGUUAGCAUGGGAUCUUUGAUGUUGGUAGUGUUUAACAUUGUUGUCAAGGUGACCCUUCAGUCUCCCUUCCCCCUUCUUGUGUUCUAAACACGGGGGUUCAGUAUUCUGCUCCUUUUUAGAAUGAGAUGGGCAUUUUUCUGUUCCUGUGUUCCCGUUCCCCAGUGUUAGCCAUCGGGGGUUUUGGCAGCUGCUCAGUGUCAGGGUCCUAAAAGGAUGCAUGCUGCCCGGAUGCCCUAAGCCCUAACUUGUGCUUGUAGGAGGAAUCUUUGGUCGAAUUGUCUACUCUUCUGGUGUGGACAGUUUCGAGGGUUUAUUUACUCAAGAUUGAGGUAGCGAUGUUUUCUUAUGCCUACAGUAGGCGACCUGAGCCUUGGGGGAGGAAGACAUCUCCUGGGUUUGAGAAGUGAAUCUUACAGCCUAUUCCUGUCUGGAGGAUCACAGUCCCGAGGUCUCCAAGCGUGGCAGUACUGGGAUCAGCGAGGCUGUCGCACCAGACAUGCAAACUGUGAUCUGGCUGCAUGGCUGGCACGGCAUCCCUGCAGGAAGAAUGGGGCGUUUUCCCUGUUACUGUCCUCAUCUAGUGUAGCCAGGACAAGUUUUAGCUUGUCCCUGGGACUCUUGGCUGGGGUCUGACCUGCUGCGCUGUGGUAUUUUCUUCUUUCUAGAGUAUUCUAGAGUAUUUCUAGAGUAUUUUUGUACACGUUGAGGGCAGUACAAGGGGAGGUGGGUCUUUUUUUCACCUUUAAAAAAAUCAAAUUGUAGGCCGGGUGUGGUGGCGCACGCCUUUAAUCCCAGCACUCGGGAGGCAGAGGCAGGCGGAUUUCUGAGUUCAAGGCCAGCCUGGUCUACAAAGUGAGUUCCAGGAUAGCCAGAGCUAUACAGAGAAACCCUGUCUCGGAAAAAAAAAAUCAAACUGUAAACCGAACAGUAAAAUUAUUUUUAAUAUCUUUAAUUUGUAGGGUUUUGUUUUUUUGACAUUGCUUAGACUGAUUUUCUUAGAAUCAUGUGAACAACAAUUCAGUCUAAGGGCAAUCUCUGCCAGUCUGAUGUCCAGCAAGGUCAUGGUGCCAUCAGGGGCCACUGGAGUAGUUUGCACUGCUUGGGGUUUCUCAGUUGGUUUUUCAGGGGAGAGCUGGCUUUAAAAAUAUCUCAGGUUCUGAGUAUUUAAAGCUCUUGAUUUUCCUCCUAAGAUAGCACACCCUCCCCUCCCCUCCCCUCCCCUCUUCCUUCCCCCUCCCCUGUCCAUUCCUCCCCUUCUCUCCUCCUCCCUGUUUCUCUCCUCCUUCCCCCUCCCUUCCUCUCCUCUCCUCCUUUGGCUGUCUACCCAUGUCUGUCUCUGUCGUGCUCCCCACUUCACCAUUAGUACACCUGCUGCUGAUUUGGUCAGAUCCCAGACUAAAUUAUAGGUUGCUUUGAACACAUCAGCCCUCUCAUUUAUUGCAAUGAGGGAGAAGUGAAAAGCUCUCGUGCCAUCUACCUAAUUUAGCUUUGGGUGAACUAAAUGGCUUUCCCCUCCCUUCGGCAAGUGCUAAACACUACAGUUCCACUUUAUCCAAAUGCUCACUUGCUGCCAAAACCCUACUUGGGGGCUCUUGACUAAAAUGCUCAAGAGACUACAUUUGGCCAGCUGCAGAGCUCCUUGGUGGUUUUCUUCAGCUGCUUAGGGAGCCGAUCCAUUCUUUCCCUCCUGAGGACCUUCUUUUGUUUGUUAGUUUGGGACAGGGUCUCAGUGUGUAGCUCUGGCUGGUCUAGAAGUUACUAUGUUGAGUGGGUUGGCCUCAAACUUAUAGAGAUCUGCUUGCCUCUGCCCCCACAGUGUGUUGGGAUAAGAGGAGCAUACCACCCGGCCUGGCAUGAUUUCCUUUCAUUGGGUGGAUUUUUUUCUCUCUCCUUUAUUUCCUUGUUAUUUAUUUAUUUGUGGUUUUGGCCUUAAUAUUUGUGAGCUAGGUUCUUGAGUUCAGCUAACAUUUUAGACCACGGAUUGGUUAAGCAAAGGGAAGGAAGAGGAGGGGGCCCUUUUCUAAUAAGGGAACCAUUUUCAGCUUUGCAGGCCAUUCUGGUUGCCGCUUCUGUAGGAAUAGACACACUGUUCCAUUGGGAUUUGAUUCAUCAGCACAGGGUGUGGCUUGCUGCCUCAGGCUGGGAUGGCAAGAUUCUCUGCUUAGAGCCAGUGGAGCAGCCUUCCAGUUUGGAUAGUUAGUGUGAGGUCUAAGCCAGCGUGCUGUGUCCCCUUAGCUGCCCUGUCUACCAUGUGUAUCUGUUUCUGCACGGCCAGCGCUAAGCUGAGAUUGCUUCACUGUGUGGAUUUAAGCUACGAGUUGUUGCCCCUUUUCGUUACUCUGCUGGACCCAGGACUGAAGGCCGGCUCAUCCCAGGGGCUGGAGUGUGGCCGGCUGAUGGGUUUCUCUGCCUUGCCCCAGAUCACAUGCCUUUCCUGGGGGUGUAUAUUCCAUGACUGUUCCCUGUGAAGGGUCGAGAGCCUGGUCUCUCCAACACUACUUUGGGGACAGCUCCAGAGCUCCCUUUGGGGCUCCUAAGACCUUCCUGUGCUUGCCCUGCAACAACUGGUCUUCCCCUCCCAGGUGUCCAUCCCAGCAGUGUCCCUCAGAAGGCCUUCCUGCAUGACACUUUUGUCUCCAGUCUGCUCCUCCAAAAGUGCCCCUGUAUUCUCCUGUUAGCACAGGCUAGAGCUCCAAUGUAGGCCCAUUUCCUCACUGUUUCGUGUCGUGGGAUGACUGUGCCUGUGUGGUAUCAGGCACAAUAAAUACAAAGUAGGUUUACUAUUUAUUCGGAAUGUGAAUUUGCUAUUUAUUCUACGUGUUGAUUGUCUAUGUUGUGAUAAUGAACUUAAAGCCAAAUAAAAGCUUGAGUUGUAUCUCCUGG
Mus musculus (house mouse) is the source of this 5987-nucleotide RNA transcript. It is a transcript of the gene named 5'-nucleotidase domain containing 3, with no coding region annotated. Lineage: Eukaryota; Metazoa; Chordata; Mammalia; Rodentia; Muridae. The record is from RefSeq and is marked validated. The transcript is spliced from 14 exons.